UACGUAGGGGGCAAGCGUUGUCCGGAUUUAUUGGGCGUAAAGAGCGUGUAGGCGGUUAGGUAGGUCCGUUGUGAAAACUCGAGGCUCAACCUCGAGACGCCGAUGGAAACCAUCUGACUAGAGUCCGGAAGAGGAGAGUGGAAUUCCUGGUGUAGCGGUGAAAUGCGCAGAUAUCAGGAAGAACACCCAUGGCGAAGGCAGCUCUCUGGUCGACCUCUGACGCUGAGACGCGAAAGCGUGGGGAGCGAACGGG
This 253-nucleotide ribosomal RNA is filed under the name uncultured bacterium. RNAcentral describes it as "partial 16S ribosomal RNA". It matches the Rfam family "Bacterial small subunit ribosomal RNA", at positions 524 to 776 of the family's 1533-position model. The record is from RNAcentral.